GACGAACGCUGGCGGCGUGCCUAAUACAUGCAAGUCGAACGCUUCUUUCCUCCCGAGUGCUUGCACUCAAUUGGAAAGAGGAGUGGCGGACGGGUGAGGAACACGUGGGUAACCUACCCAUCAGAGGGGGAUAACACUUGGAAACAGGUGCUAAUACCGCAUAACAGUUUAUGCCGCAUGGCAUAAGAGUGAAAGGCGCUUUCGGGUGUCGUUGAUGGAUGGACCCGCGGUGCAUUAGCUAGUUGGUGAGGUAACGGCUCACCAAGGCCACGAUGCAUAGCCGACCUGAGAGGGUGAUCGGCCACACUGGGACUGAGACACGGCCCAGACUCCUACGGGAGGCAGCAGUAGGGAAUCUUCGGCAAUGGACGAAAGUCUGACCGAGCAACGCCGCGUGAGUGAAGAAGGUUUUCGGAUCGUAAACCUCUGUUGUUCGAGAAGAACAAGGACGUUAGUAACUGAACGUCCCCUGACGGUAUCUAACCAGAAAGCAACGGCUAACUACGUG
This 508-nucleotide ribosomal RNA is filed under the name uncultured bacterium. Its description in RNAcentral is "partial 16S ribosomal RNA". It matches the Rfam family "Bacterial small subunit ribosomal RNA", at positions 28 to 507 of the family's 1533-position model. The record is from RNAcentral.